CGCACGGGUGAGUAACACGUAUCCAACCUGCCGUCUACUCUUGGCCAGCCUUCUGAAAGGGAGAUUAAUCCAGGAUGGCAUCAUGAGUUCACAUGUCCGCAUGAUUAAAGGUAUUUUCCGGUAGACGAUGGGGAUGCGUUCCAUUAGAUAGUAGGCGGGGUAACGGCCCACCUAGUCAACGAUGGAUAGGGGUUCUGAGAGGAAGGUCCCCCACAUUGGAACUGAGACACGGUCCAA
RNAcentral lists this ribosomal RNA (237 nucleotides) under uncultured bacterium. RNAcentral's name for it is "partial 16S ribosomal RNA". It matches the Rfam family "Bacterial small subunit ribosomal RNA", at positions 99 to 334 of the family's 1533-position model. The record is from RNAcentral.